Caenorhabditis elegans is the source of this 220-nucleotide non-coding RNA. Lineage: Eukaryota; Metazoa; Nematoda; Chromadorea; Rhabditida; Rhabditidae. The record is from Ensembl.
UCGAUGAGUUCACAUACCUUUUUGAAUAUCAUCAUGAACAGAAUAUUCCCAGAAUAAAAGAAGAAGUUCAGAAUAGAGGGUAACAUCAAAUGUCCGGGAGGGCGGACGGACGAAGGGGGGUUGUGGGAGAAAGGGACGGUCGUAAAUUUAACGACCUUCUGGACGGCGGGACGAGGGGAUUUUCAUUGGAAAACUCGUAAAACGAAGGACACUGGAGGGU